UAUGGGGAAGAGCAACAGGGAUUGCCCCAGUAACGGCGAGUGAAGCGGCAACAGCUCAAAUUUGAAAUCUGGCCCCCGGGUCCGAGUUGUAAUUUGUAGAGGAUGCUUUUGGCGAGGUGCCUUCCGAGUUCCCUGGAACGGGACGCCAUAGAGGGUGAGAGCCCCGUCUGGUCGGACACCGAGCCUCUGUAAAGCUCCUUCGACGAGUCGAGUAGUUUGGGAAUGCUGCUCAAAAUGGGAGGUAUAUGUCUUCUAAAGCUAAAUAUUGGCCAGAGACCGAUAGCGCACAAGUAGAGUGAUCGAAAGAUGAAAAGCACUUUGAAAAGAGGGUUAAAAAGUACGUGAAAUUGUUGAAAGGGAAGCGCCUAUGACCAGACUUGGGCCCGGUGAAUCACCCAGCGUUCUCGCUGGUGCACUUCGCCGGGCACAGGCCAGCAUCAGUUUGGCGCGGGGGAGAAAGGCUUCGGGAAUGUGGCUCCCCCGGGAGUGUUAUAGCCCGUUGCGCAAUACCCUGCGCUGGACUGAGGUACGCGCAUUCGCAAGGAUGCUGGCGUAAUGGUCAUCAGCGACCCGUCUUGAAACACGGACCAAGGAGUCGUCUUCGUAUGCGAGUGUUCGGGUGUCAAACCCCUACGCGUAAUGAAAGUGAACGCAGGUGAGAGCUUCGGCGCAUCAUCGACCGAUCCUGAUGUUCUCGGAUGGAUUUGAGUAAGAGCAUACGGGGCCGGACCCGAAAGAAGGUGAACUAUGCCUGUAUAGGGUGAAGCCAGAGGAAACUCUGGUGGAGGCUCGCAGCGGUUCUGACGUGCGAAUCGAUCGUCAAAUAUGGGCAUGGGGGCGAAAGACUAAUCGAACCUUCUAGUAGCUGGUUCCGCGGUUUUUCUCUCUCCCCACAGAGGA
This 900-nucleotide ribosomal RNA is filed under the name Cordyceps sp. RNAcentral describes it as "partial large subunit ribosomal RNA". It matches the Rfam family "Eukaryotic large subunit ribosomal RNA", at positions 47 to 980 of the family's 3401-position model. Lineage: Eukaryota; Fungi; Ascomycota; Sordariomycetes; Hypocreales; Cordycipitaceae. The record is from RNAcentral.